ACGUGUUACAAUGGCGUGGACAAAGGGAAGCCACCUGGCGACAGGGAGCGAAUCCCCAAACCACGUCUCAGUUCGGAUCGGAGUCUGCAACCCGACUCCGUGAAGCUGGAUUCGCUAGUAAUCGCGCAUCAGCCAUGGCGCGGUGAAUACGUUCCCGGGCCUUGUACACACCGCCCGUCAAGCCAUGGGAGCCGGGGGUACCUGAAGUCCGUAACCGAAAGGAUCGGCCUAGGGUAAAACUGGUGACUGGGGCUAAGUCGUAACAAGGUAAC
RNAcentral lists this ribosomal RNA (272 nucleotides) under uncultured bacterium. RNAcentral describes it as "partial 16S ribosomal RNA". It matches the Rfam family "Bacterial small subunit ribosomal RNA", at positions 1220 to 1500 of the family's 1533-position model. The record is from RNAcentral.